This is a non-coding RNA of Gossypium raimondii (Peruvian cotton), 147 nucleotides long. NCBI's taxonomy places the organism in Eukaryota, Viridiplantae, Streptophyta, Magnoliopsida, Malvales, Malvaceae. The record is from Rfam.
UGUUAAAAAUUUUAUUCAUUUUUACUGUUAAAAACUGAAAUACUAACGGAAUAACCAAAUAAUUACACGUAGCAUGCCACAUGUACCUUAUAUUGCUGACAUAAAGUAACCGGUUUUUAUUAGUAGAAAUAGUUAGAAUUUUUAACA